AACGCUGGCGGCGUGCCUAACACAUGCAAGUCGAGCGGGGACAUGCGACGGAGACGAAGUUUUCGGAUGGAGUCGAAGAUGCAUUGUCUAGCGGCGGACGGGUGAGUAACACGUGAGCAACCUGCCUUCAAGAGGGGGAUAACAGAGAGAAAUUUCUGCUAAUACCGCAUAAGACCACAACACCGCAUGGUGAAGGGGUCAAAGGAGCAAUCCGCUUGAAGAUGGGCUCGCGGCUGAUUAGCUAGUUGGUGAGGUAAUGGCUCACCAAGGCGACGAUCAGUAGCCGAACUGAGAGGUUGAUCGGCCACAUUGGGACUGAGACACGGCCCAGACUCCUACGGGAGGCAGCAGUCGGGAAUAUUGCACAAUGGGGGAAACCCUGAUGCAGCGACGCCGCGUAAAGGAAGAAGGUCUUCGGAUUGUAAACUUUUGUCGACAGGGAAGAAAAAUGACAGUACCUGUGGAGGAAGCCCCGGCUAACUACGUG
Molecule: ribosomal RNA, 487 nt
Filed under: uncultured bacterium
Lineage: Bacteria
Description: bacterial SSU rRNA
Rfam family: Bacterial small subunit ribosomal RNA
Source: RNAcentral